AAAAGUAUUAGAUCCUCAAUCUCAAGGUAUUCUAAGAGCUUUUGGAGACCAUUGAGUGUAAAAUUCCCAGUAUGUUUGAGGCAGGAACAGACUUGGAGAAAGAAUGUAGUUUAUGAGCAGGAGUUUGGAGCUGGAAGAAAUACUGCUUUCUGUUGGUGGUUAAUGCUGUCAGCUCCUUGGAUUGUGGCUUUAGCCCUAAAUAUUGGGGCAGUAGAGACUCUUAACUGGAAAACACCUGUGUUAGGGGCAAGAGGCAGAGGAAAGCUUGGGUGGUUGGGUUGAGGAUGGUGGAUGUGCUGUCCCUGUGAGAGUGCUGGUGCUGGACCCUGGAGCCAACGACAAAGCGUUUCAGCGAGCAGGGUCCAAGCAAGGGCAGUCGAGGGCCGGAUGAAGUGGGCAGGAACCGAGUUUCCCAGGUGACAUCCUGCCUGUGCUCAUCACGCCGAGGGGUGGCAGUGUUGCACAAUCACACAGAUUCUUUGUCACUAUUGAGUGCAGUGUUCUUAAGAAUGGGGACCUGGCAGCCAGGUGCGAUGGCUCGUGCCUGUAAUCUCAACACUUUGGGAGGCUGAAGUAGGCAGAUAUAAAAGGAGACCUAGG
RNAcentral lists this non-coding RNA (600 nucleotides) under Pongo abelii (Sumatran orangutan). The record is from RNAcentral. Lineage: Eukaryota; Metazoa; Chordata; Mammalia; Primates; Hominidae.